This 918-nucleotide long non-coding RNA is filed under the name Equus caballus (horse). RNAcentral describes it as "lncRNA (ENSECAG00000055328.1)". Lineage: Eukaryota; Metazoa; Chordata; Mammalia; Perissodactyla; Equidae. The record is from RNAcentral.
CCCUGAUGAAGGAAAUGAAUGCGGGGAAGGGAUCAGAAAUAUGAUCCACCACUCACAGGCUCAGAAAGGUCUGGGGGCUCUCUGUGGCCUUCGAGGGGGCAGCUGGGCACAGUGUGUUUUAUUAUAUAAUUAACCUUGACCCUUCUGGGUUCAAAGAGAGAGGUUAGUUGGAAAUAAAUCAGUAGUCUGGUCUGGUCACUUCAAAGGCUUCAGAACCCGCUGGAAAAUUCCAUGUUUGUUCAGUGUGUAAAUUGGAAUAGGGUGUGCAAUUCUUUUUGAAAGGUGGGGGAGUUAAGUCUAAAAUUGAAAUUAAUUGUGUAUCCGCUUCCUUUAAUCAAGCAAUCAGGAGUCUUUAUUGUGUAUCUUGUUGGGGGGGGUGAAUGAGAAGCCCUGGGGGGUACUGUGUGACCUCUAUGAGACCACUGGGCUUGGUUCUAGGACAAUAGGCAUCUCUCCAAGCUCAGGAAGCACCUCCCCUCCCAGCAGUGUGCAGCCCUUUAUUCGGACAUGUCUGAAAUUCUUAGAAGCACCGAACCAUCACCAUCAUAAUACACGGCAUUUAUUGAGUGCUUACUAUGGACCAGGUGCCGAGGAUUUUCCAGCUAUUUUCUUAUUUGAACCUCAUAACAACCCUAUUAGACAAGUACCAUUAUUAUCUCUAUUACAGAUGAGGAAAUAGAGUAGGGGCCUAAAUAGCAAGUCCAGGGCCACUUUGAGGUUUCCAAAGUGUGUUUCAAUGCCACGGCUCAAGGAAUGCAAAUAAAAGCCAAGGAAGAGACGAAUUACCCAGUCUCCAGUCUCCGUGUUCUUUUCCUGAAGUUGCUAGAAGGAGCUUGUCCUUGGAAGGCAGCCACCAUGUUGUGAGGAAGCCCAGGCCACACGGAGAGGCUGCAUGUGGGUGUUGGGGCACGAAGCCGG